AGUGAACGCUGGCGGUAGGCCUAACACAUGCAAGUCGAACGGCAGCACAGUAAGAGCUUGCUCUUACGGGUGGCGAGUGGCGGACGGGUGAGGAAUACAUCGGAAUCUACUUUUUCGUGGGGGAUAACGUAGGGAAACUUACGCUAAUACCGCGUACGACCUACGGGUGAAAGCAGGGGAUCUUCGGACCUUGCGCGAUUGAAUGAGCCGAUGUCGGAUUAGCUAGUUGGCGGGGUAAAGGCCCACCAAGGCGACGAUCCGUAGCUGGUCUGAGAGGAUGGUCGGCCACACUGGAACUGAGACACGGUCCAGACUCCUACGGGAGGCAGCAGUGGGGAAUAUUGGACAAUGGGCGCAAGCCUGAUCCAGCCAUACCGCGUGGGUGAAGAAGGCCCUCGGGUUGUAAAGCCCUUUUGUUGGGAAAGAAAAGCAGCAGGUUAAUACCCCGCUGUUCUGACGGUACCCAAAGAAUAAGCACCGGCUAACUUCGUG
RNAcentral lists this ribosomal RNA (492 nucleotides) under uncultured bacterium. RNAcentral's name for it is "partial 16S ribosomal RNA". It matches the Rfam family "Bacterial small subunit ribosomal RNA", at positions 29 to 507 of the family's 1533-position model. The record is from RNAcentral.